UACGUAGGGUGCGAGCGUUGUCCGGAAUUAUUGGGCGUAAAGAGCUCGUAGGCGGUCUGUCGCGUCGGUCGUGAAAACUUGGGGCUUAACCCUGAGCUUGCGGUCGAUACGGGCAUGACUGGAGUUCGGCAGGGGAGACUGGAAUUCCUGGUGUAGCGGUGAAAUGCGCAGAGAUCGGAAGGAACACCAGUGGCGAAGGCGGCUACCUGGCCGGAUACUGACACUGAAGCACGAAAGCGUGGGGAGCAAACAGG
This 254-nucleotide ribosomal RNA is filed under the name uncultured bacterium. Its description in RNAcentral is "partial 16S ribosomal RNA". It matches the Rfam family "Bacterial small subunit ribosomal RNA", at positions 524 to 776 of the family's 1533-position model. The record is from RNAcentral.